GGAGGUGGGCGGAGGAUCGCCGGCGGGCCACCAGGGCCCGCGGGAGGAAAGUCCGGGCUCCGCAGGGCGAGGGAGGUCGUUAACGGCGACCCGGGGUGACCCGAGGGAAAGUGCCGCAGAAACGAUACCGCCCGUCCCAUUCAACCGAGCGCCUCUCUGAGAGGGGAGCCGCUCGGGGGCCGGGUAAGGGUGAAAUCGUGGGGUAAGAGCCCACGCGCGACUGCCGGGUGACCGGCGGCGGAGGCAAACCCCUCCCGGAGCAAGCUCGAAUAGGGACGCCGCUGAGAGCGGCCCGCUCGAAGGCCCGCAAGGGCCUCGGCGUCCGGGUGAGAGUGCUCGAGCGGCGCAGCAAUGCGUCGCCUAGAUGAAUGAUCCUCGCUCGCAUCGGGGCAACCCGGCGCGAGAACAGGACCCGGCUUACAGCCCACUUCGGGGA
RNAcentral lists this RNase P RNA (436 nucleotides) under Myxococcales bacterium. RNAcentral describes it as "RNase P RNA component class A". It matches the Rfam family "Bacterial RNase P class A". Rfam says of the family: Ribonuclease P (RNase P) is a ubiquitous endoribonuclease, found in archaea, bacteria and eukarya as well as chloroplasts and mitochondria. Its best characterised activity is the generation of mature 5'-ends of tRNAs by cleaving the 5'-leader elements of precursor-tRNAs. The record is from RNAcentral. Lineage: Bacteria; Pseudomonadati; Myxococcota; Myxococcia; Myxococcales.